ACCUUAGUCUCUUCAAAAGAUU
This 22-nucleotide small nuclear RNA is filed under the name Arabidopsis thaliana (thale cress). Its description in RNAcentral is "snRNA_05870". Lineage: Eukaryota; Viridiplantae; Streptophyta; Magnoliopsida; Brassicales; Brassicaceae. The record is from RNAcentral.